Mus musculus (house mouse) is the source of this 6205-nucleotide RNA transcript. It is a transcript of the gene named gamma-secretase activating protein, with no coding region annotated. NCBI's taxonomy places the organism in Eukaryota, Metazoa, Chordata, Mammalia, Rodentia, Muridae. The record is from RefSeq and is marked validated. The transcript is spliced from 32 exons.
AGGUGUAUUAAACAUGAGGUGUAUUAAACAUGAGGUGUAUUAAACGGUGGCAGCAUUAGGAAGGUUCAGAACCACUGAACAGAAGGAAGGUAUGAAUAACCAGAAUCCGUAUGAAUAGCCAGAUUAGUUGGGAGUUCAAGUUCUAGUUACCAGGCACCAGCACUGGGUAAAGACUAGGCAGUGUUCUGCUUUGAGAUAUGGAGCUGGCUGAGUGUUUGUUUUUGAGAUCAGGACUCAUUCUCUAGCCCAAGCUGGCCAUGACCUCCAAGCUAGUCUCCUAAGUGCAAAGCUGAUAGGCAUGAGACAUUAUGUCGGCUAAGGCUAUUUCAGUUUUAGCAACAGUAAUUACCUGCUGUUGCUGUACAGAACGGAUGGCAUCUCACAGGGCCAAGUUUAUUGAGCACUCCUCAAGCAGAGUAAGCCAGAGUGAUAGAACGAAAACACCAGGCGUACUUAUAGUGGAAUAGAUGGACUUGGGAAGGAACCCAAGAAGAAUGAACGUGCCUAUAGACAAACCUCGUGGGAGGCCACUUGCGGACAAGCCAGCUUCCUCAAGCAUGACUGAAAGGUAAAGAGAACCCAGACUGUGCUAAGCUAACCGUCCUUAGUGUCAUUUAACAGCACCCUGUAGUUUACCCACUCCCUGCUGCUGUUUAUUACCUAAACACUAUAGCUGAAACAUCACCCUGUGCAGCAGAGCUAAGGAGAAUUGGCCCGUAUGCCAGCUGCCUUUGUGUAACCUCGAGUCUCCUCAGGUGACCUGGCCCUAGCUAAGUGGCUGCGUGGGGGAAUGACCUGGGACUAAAGAAAACCUGCCCUCCGCUUCGCACGGCUGUCCCCAAGUCCAGUCUGGAAGCUGCUGGCUUUGUCACCCCUUCGGGCCCUGCCACAGUUCCCUGCCAGCGCCAGCGGCAGGGGAGGCGUUGUCUCUGGGGUAGGGAGAAGUGCUCCCCGGCGUAGGCCUGGAAGGGGCGGUGCUCGGGAUCCUCGGGGCUGGACCGCCCAGAACCCUGAACCGAAAGCAGCCUGGGGAGGCGGGGAGGAAGGAGAGGUGGUUGUAGGCUGAGAGGUGUAAGCCCGCCCGGAAUGCCCGCCGCUGCUGCUUGGGAGCCAUGGCUCUGCGGCUGGUCACUCACUUCGAUGUGCUGGAGGACGUGCUCCCGAGUCUGCUCACACAGGCGGCGACAACGGACGAAGGAGACAGAGCAGGUGUUUUAGAAACAACUUAUGGGAGCUUACGUGUACUAAACAUCGAAAGAAAUGGAAACAUUAUUUAUACCUAUAAGGACAAUAAGGGAAACGCUGUUUUUGGAUUAUAUGAUUGCCAAACCAGACAGAAUGAGCAUCUGUACACCUUUGAGAAGGACAUGCAAGCUGUCAGUUGUUCAGUCAACAGUGAGAGAACAGUGCUUGCUGCGAGUUUCAUUCAGUAUACCACAGAGGGAGUAAAGAAUGACCUUCAGCCAGGAUCGAAGUGCCUAACUUUGCUGGUAGAAAUACACCCUGUUAACAACGUGAAGGUUCUGAAAGCAGUGGAUAGCUGUGUUUGGGUACAGUUCCUCUACCCACAAGCUGAAAGUCAUCUUCUUCCACAGAACCACCUGCUACUGAUCUCAGAAGAGAAAUAUAUUGAGCGGUUUCAUAUCCAGAUCACCAGAGAAGAUGGAGACAGAGUGGUGAUUAGAAAUUCUAGCCAUCUCCCAAGAGACAGACUAGCUGAAGACUUUGUUUGGGCUCAGUGGGAUCUGUCAGAGCAGAGACUAUACUACAUUGAACUAAAGGAGUCAAGGAGUAUCUUGAAAUGCAUCCAGUUUAGGGCAGAUGAAAGUUUUAACUUAAUGUUUGAAAUGCCCUUGGACAUAACGUUAACUGGCUUGAGAUUUAAACUUGUCAACUUUGGAUAUGACUAUCGUCAAGACCGUGAGAAGCUGUGCAAUCAGCCUUCUCUCUGCAUUUUUACCAACCAUACAGGGAGUUUGUGUAUGUGUUACAGCCCUAAGUCUGACUCACGGGAAGAAAUCACAUAUUCAGUGUUCUACCUCCAUAAAGGAUACAGAAAGAUCUUCACUGCAGCUCCUGGAAGUGCUGACUCACAGGUCACAAACGGUGCUGACUCACAGGUCACAGACGGCAUCGCUUUCCUCAACCUUGGCUACUUUGUGGCUGUUUACUCCCCUGGCCAUUUCCUUCAUUUACUUAACAUUCAGCAUCCAGACUUGGUCUGCCACAGUCUGUUUCUGACAGGAAACAACAAAAUAGCUGCUGUGCUACCUCCAAGUCCUUUGCAGUCCCUGCCGGGGUCCCUGGUUCUGGACUGCUAUUCUGGAAAGGUCUAUAGAGUAACCCUUGACCAGUCAUACUUGUUGCGGUUCCUAUGGAACGCCCAUCUCGACUGUGAGAGAAUGGCUGCACUGCACUGUAUACUAUCCUGUAGUCAAGACCCAGGUUUCCCGGAAGAACAGAUUAUCCAGUGGAUUUCGGAGCAUGUCUCUGCUUGCCAUUCAUUUGACCUCAUUCAAGAAUUUCUAAUUGCUUCCUCCUAUUGGAGUGUGUAUGCAGAGCUGGACGACAUGGGCAUGCUCCUACAAUACUCCUCUGUGCUGACUUGGAACACAGAAAUUCCCGGAAUAAAGUUUACGACAGAGGAACUCCCAUUGCCUCUUAUGAAGGUCUACGGCUUGAAGGGGUACUGGGCAAAGCUGAACUCCAACCUUGAGUACAUUAAGUAUACAAAACCUCACUUGCACUAUCACAACAGCGUCGUGAGGAGGGAAUGGCAUAACCUGAUCUCUGAAGAGAGAACGGGCAAAAGGAGAUCCACAAUGUACGUGAGGAACAUUCUUGAAAACGCAAUGAAGGUGAUUGCUAGCAUGGAAACGAGGACACUGGAGCCAAGAUUAAUACCAUUCUUACAAGAGGAAGACCGGCACCAGAGGCUGCUCAUGGGCUUGAUGGUGUCUGAGCUAAGAGACCACCUACUGAGACACCUGCAGGGUGUAGAAAAGAAGAAAAUUGAACAGAUGGUUCUGGACUACAUUUCAAAACUGCUGGAUCUCAUUUGGUGCUUGCUGGAAACCAGUUGGAGGAAACACAGUAUGCAUCCAUUGGUUCUCCACCUCAAUAGCCAUUGCAGUGCUGCAGAUUUUGAAGUCUUUCAUCUCAUGACCAGGAUUUUGGAUGCUGCUAGCAGUUUGUGUUUGCCUCUGCCUCCUGGUUUCCACUCUCUGCACACGAUCCUUGGGGUCCACUGCCUCCCUUUGUACAGCCUUCUGCACUACAUUGAUAACGGAGUGCUGCUGCUUACUGAGACCGCGGUCACGAGGCUUAUGAAAGAUCUGGACAAUUCAGAGAAAAAUGAACAACUGAAAUUCAGCAUCAUUGUCCGGCUCCCUCCGCUUAUUGGCCAGAAGGUCUGCCGGCUUUGGGACCACCCCAUGAGUUCCAAUAUCAUUUCACGGAACCAUGUGGCCCGGCUGCUGAAAAACUACAGGAAAGAGCCUCGGAACUCCAUGAUUGACAAAUCAUCAUUUCCGGUAGAAUUUCUGCCUCUGAACUACUUCAUCGAAAUUCUGAUGGGCCUGGAGUCCUCCAACCAAGCACUGUAUGGCUUUGAAGGACAUGACAAUGUGGACGCAGAAUUUGUAGAGGAAGCUGCUCUGAAACACACCACCAUGCUUUUGGGCUUAUGAAAGUGGACGUGCAGACGGACGAUUUCAAUAUUUUCACCUCCCUUUUCUGGAAACUUUCCCACUGUCUUUAAGAUUGGGAACAGAUGAAUGCAAAGCAAAGCAAAGCAAAACAAAGGGGAAACUAGUGUAACCUUGAAUAAUUAGGAAGACUGCAUGGGCAAAAUGAGAUGCCCAUGAGGAAGGCUCCAUGUCUCUGAUAUGGGAUGGAGAGGUAAGCAAGCAUCCCCUGCUGCAAACAUACUUAGAAUGAGCUAUUCUCCAUGCUCUACUCUCACGGGCUGGAAACCAUAGCUCAGAGUGCUACUUGGGGCCAGGAAAUCUUAUAAACUAUGACAGAAAAUCACAAAUGCUUAGUUUGUCAACUAAAAGCUCCUAGCUGAUUCUUUCUGAUUCUUUUCAGCAUUCUGAAUGAAGGAUGAUCACUAUAGUCAUGCAUUGUGCUAAGUUUUGAUUUCUGGAUUGUGUUCUUCUAACACAAUGUAUAUGUAUGUUUAUUUUCUUCAUUGACCAUUCUAUAUGUAUAUGUUGCAUUCUGGUUAAAUUCUCUAUAAAACUCAGCCCUCUGGUUUCUUCAGAAUUGUUUUGAGUUGCAAGUACCUAGGAGUCCUCAGACUUCAUCACAGAGUCUGGGGGUGACUGUAUGAGCUAGGCAACUGUGUCAGCCAGUGAAAUGGGAAGAAUCCUGGGUAGGAUUCCCCAGAAAGUAACUCUUUUCAUGUUCAAAGACUGAGUGAGGUAACUCAGGCCCAGAAAGUCAAAUGCCACAGGCUCCCUCAUCUGCAGUUCCUAGCUUAGGAUCUUUAGAUGUGAGUGUGUCACCCAGAAUAACUGCAGAUAUCAGGAAAGUAAAAAGCAGGCCAUGGAGAAGGGCUCCAAAGAGGGCAAUAGUAGGACACAGUUGUGAGAGAAGAAAUGGGAAAAACUUGGGGUGGAGGCUUAGCUGGGGAUGCAGGCGGGGCAACUAAGAGAGAAAGGAAAGAAGGAGGGAUAAAUGAUACCAUUGAUGUUUGAAAAGCCGUAGGGAAUCAUAUUAUUUUUUAAAAAAUUACAUAGCAUAUCUAUCUAUCCAUGCUGUGUGUGUGUGUUCACUGAAGUUAUAGUACUUGGGGGUGGCAAUGUUCUCUCCCAAACUAUAGACCAUCUAGCAAAAACUCAAGUGUCAGGUAUGGGAAACCUUUUGAGUUGCUGAUCAGAGGAGUCCAAGAGAUCUACCCCCAAAACUAUAUAGGCUAUUGUUGUUGUCCUUGAUUGCCUUUCAGAGAAAGAAGGCAAGACCCGAUUGCUGACCACAUACACUUCAGACACAGGACUUGGAGGAACUGAGCUGGACCUGAGCUGGAAGCCUCUACCCCAAGAACUAGCUCUCAUAGUAACAAAAGGAGCUGCCAAGGGAGAAAAGCAAUCAAUAGUCUUAUGCAGCUGUAAUGCCUGUGAACCACAACCAUCAGAAUGUCAAGAUAUUCUGAAAGGUACAAUAGUGGCCUAUAUCCUGGGGUGGUCACUUAAGACCCUCAAUACGAGGGAAUUCAUGCCUGUUUCAUGACUACUCAUGACUGAUGAGGUCACCGACCCCAGAGGAAAACCUAUGCCACCUCUUUCCUAAGCCAGGAUAGUGUCUAACUGCACACUAAAUACUUGCCAUGAUAGCCGUGGAGAAGUAUGGCUCUCACCCUCACCAAGAAGCUCCUUUGUACAACAUCAUGGAAGGCUGCAGCUGGCCAGACUGCAGUGAGCAACCAAGUGAGAGGUGGCCAGGACCAGCCAAUAGAUACAUCUGCAACAGAACCCUCCACUGAGACUCGGGAAGAAGCCAGAAAGACUGUGAAAGCCAGAGAACCAGGAAUCUGAAACACUGGGACUUCCAAAAAGAUUUUUGAAAAGAAGACAUAAAAUAGAGGGAGGGGGAGGAUUGAGGAGGGUGGACCUGGGGGAGCUGGAGGGGAAAGUUGGGAUGAAUACAAUUAGAAUAUGUGGCAAAUCCUCAGAGAAAUACUAUAAACAUAUUUAUAAAAGACAAAGUCAGCCAAGCUGGUCAUCACUUUCUUGUGGAAUGGUCAUCUUGUGACCAUUGAGAAGAAAUACAGUAAAGAUGGCCAAGAGAGAGCUAAAAUAAUUCUGAGCUUUUUUGUGAUGUGAAAUUACUUGAUGUACCCAUAUCUACACUUUUUAUUAUACGAACAAAAUGUUCUCUUGCUUAGGAGAGUUACACUAGUUUUCUGUUACUCACUGAAACCAAGCUGCAAACCUAAUUGCUGUCUUUUGAAAGGAAAUCUUCUAACGGUCAUCUCCAAAACAUGUUAAAGGUCAUGCUGAAGUCUCCACUGAAGUGUCAGAAAAAUAGCUUCUCAAUUUUGGGAUCAAAGAUGAUGUCAAACACUUAGGAUUAACUUUGAGCCCCAAGUUGCAUAUGUGGCCAAGUUUUAUAUGAUUGUGUAUGCUUAGUUCUUAGAUUUGGUUUUUAUUUCAUGUUUAAAAUGUAUUCAUUGUACCCAUACAGUAGAUCUACAUAAAAAAAA